This 274-nucleotide ribosomal RNA is filed under the name uncultured bacterium. Its description in RNAcentral is "partial 16S ribosomal RNA". It matches the Rfam family "Bacterial small subunit ribosomal RNA", at positions 523 to 796 of the family's 1533-position model. The record is from RNAcentral.
AUACGGAGGGUGCAAGCGUUAUUCGGAAUCACUGGGCGUAAAGCGCGCGCAGGCGGGCUGAUAAGUUGGAUGUGAAAGCCUACGGCUCAACCGUAGAACUGCAUCCAAAACUGUCAGUCUAGAGUCUGGGAGGGGAAGAUGGAAUUAGUUGUGUAGGGGUAAAAUCCGUAGAGAUAACUAGGAAUACCAAAAGCGAAGGCGAUCUUCUGGAACAGUACUGACGCUGAGGCGCGAAAGCGUGGGGAGCAAACAGAAUUAGAUACCCUAGUAGUCC